Sciurus carolinensis (gray squirrel) is the source of this 103-nucleotide small nuclear RNA. The record is from RefSeq and is a predicted model, not a curated record. Lineage: Eukaryota; Metazoa; Chordata; Mammalia; Rodentia; Sciuridae.
GUGCUUACUUAGUAGCACACAUACAAAAAUUGGAAUGAUACAGCGAUUAUCGUGGCCCCUGUGUAAGACUGACAUGCAAAUUCAUGAAGUGCUUCAUAUUUUU